RNAcentral lists this unclassified non-coding RNA (251 nucleotides) under Hevea brasiliensis (rubber tree). Lineage: Eukaryota; Viridiplantae; Streptophyta; Magnoliopsida; Malpighiales; Euphorbiaceae. The record is from RNAcentral.
GUAAAUCAUACUUAGGAUGAACUUUUUGGCUCUUAGGAUGUUCUCAUUUUAAAAUAUGCAAGUAAUGUAACACUUUAUUUGGUAGCAAAACCGGAGUAAAACUAAAGGGAAUGAUACUAGAAAGUAUAUUUCAUGAGAUUAAAGUUUUACAUGGAUGAAAACUGACACGACUGAUGGUAAAUAGGAUUCAUCAUUGUAAAUGGAAAUAGAUGAUACAAGGUUUGGCUUAGAGUGGGAGCCAAAUAGAAGAA